Molecule: ribosomal RNA, 505 nt
Filed under: uncultured bacterium
Lineage: Bacteria
Description: partial 16S ribosomal RNA
Rfam family: Bacterial small subunit ribosomal RNA
Source: RNAcentral
GACGAACGCUGGCGGCGUGCCUAAUACAUGCAAGUCGAACGCACAGUUUAUACCGUAGCUUGCUACACCAUAGACUGUGAGUUGCGAACGGGUGAGUAACGCGUAGGUAACCUGCCUGGUAGCGGGGGAUAACUAUUGGAAACGAUAGCUAAUACCGCAUAAUAUUGAUUAUUGCAUGAUAAUUAAUUGAAAGGUGCAAUUGCACCACUACCAGAUGGACCUGCGUUGUAUUAGCUAGUAGGUGAGGUAACGGCUCACCUAGGCGGCGAUACAUAGCCGACCUGCGAGGGUGAGCGGCCACACUGGGACUGAGACACGGCCCAGACGCCUACGGGAGGCAGCAGGAGGGAAUCUUCGGCAAGGGACGAAAGUCAGACCGAGCAACGCCGCAUGAGUGAAGAAGGAUUUCGGAUCGUAAAGCUCUGUUGUAAGAGAAGAACGGGUGUGAGAGUGGAAAGUUCACACUGUGACGGUAUCUGACCAGAAAGGGACGGCUAACUACGUG